GAUGAACGCUGGCGGCGUGCCUAAUACAUGCGAGUCGAGCGAACAGACGAGGAGCUUGCUCCUCUGACGUUAGCGGCGGACGGGUGAGUAACACGUGGAUAACCUACCUAUAAGACUGGGAUAACUUCGGGAAACCGGAGCUAAUACCGGAUAAUAUAUUGAACCGCAUGGUUCAAUAGUGAAAGACGGUUUUGCUGUCACUUAUAGAUGGAUCCGCGCCGCAUUAGCUAGUUGGUAAGGUAACGGCUUACCAAGGCAACGAUGCGUAGCCGACCUGAGAGGGUGAUCGGCCACACUGGAACUGAGACACGGUCCAGACUCCUACGGGAGGCAGCAGUAGGGAAUCUUACGCAAUGGGCGAAAGCCUGACGGAGCAACGCCGCGUGAGUGAUGAAGGUCUUCGGAUCGUAAAACUCUGUUAUUAGGGAAGAACAAAUGUGUAAGUAACUAUGCACGUCUUGACGGUACCUAAUCAGAAAGCCACGGCUAACUACGUG
This 497-nucleotide ribosomal RNA is filed under the name uncultured bacterium. RNAcentral describes it as "partial 16S ribosomal RNA". It matches the Rfam family "Bacterial small subunit ribosomal RNA", at positions 28 to 507 of the family's 1533-position model. The record is from RNAcentral.